UACGGAGGGUGCAAACGUUGCUCGGAAUCAUUGGGCGUAAAGCGCACGUAGGCGGCCUGAUAAGUCGGGUGUGAAAGCCCCGGGCUCAACCCGGGAAGUGCAUUGGAAACUGGCGAACUUGAGUACGGGAGAGGGCAGUGGAAUUCCUAGUGUAGGAGUGAAAUCCGUAGAUAUUAGGAGGAACACCGGUGGCGAAGGCGGCUGCCUGGACCGAUACUGACGCUGAGACGCGAAAGCGUGGGGAGCAAACAGG
Molecule: ribosomal RNA, 253 nt
Filed under: uncultured bacterium
Lineage: Bacteria
Description: partial 16S ribosomal RNA
Rfam family: Bacterial small subunit ribosomal RNA
Source: RNAcentral